UAUAAUGCCUAAUCCAACUCAGGAGCGGGGGAACCGAAAGAAUGCGUAUGACGCAUCCUAUGUUUUUGGGGGUGAAUGACAUUGCGGGUUCCGCAUGUCAGGGGUGGUCUUCUCACCCUAAUCCGUCAGCUAACCUCGCAGGCAGAGAGAGGA
RNAcentral lists this small RNA (153 nucleotides) under bovine gut metagenome. RNAcentral describes it as "ydaO/yuaA leader". It matches the Rfam family "c-di-AMP riboswitch aptamer (ydaO/yuaA leader)". From Rfam's summary of the family: This family represents a conserved RNA structure found upstream of the ydaO and yuaA genes in Bacillus subtilis and related genes in other bacteria. The ydaO/yuaA element is thought to act as a genetic "off" switch for the ydaO and yuaA genes in its native state. RNAcentral also lists the same sequence under 2 other names. The record is from RNAcentral.